UGAAUAACCAUUUCUUAAUACUUCUGUGAUCAAUUUUUCAUGCUUUCCGGAGAUGAUUUGAACAGAGGGAAAAAGGGUGAAACUCAUCGCUUACAACGUAAAACCACUGAGUAUAAGGAUAGAAAUAAUAUCAGGCUUCGAGGAAUUUCUGGAAACAGUCAUAUCUCAAACCUCGAGGGGGAGGGGAUCGCUGAAUCACAUACUAUGUAUAAAUAGUCGCCUAUAAUAAUCGUUGUUGUUAGUUAUUCAGUGAGUUUCGAUUUAUACACAUUUAUUUAUUCAACUUAUCUUUCACGUGAGUUUUUCUCAUCGAACAACAUAUCAAAAUUUUGUACACGGUUCGGAAUUUUCGAAGAUUUCUCUGCUAUAAAUUCAGCAACAGUACAGGAUCAAAUAUGAAGAACAUUGCAAUUUUCGUAAUUGGUAUUUUCAUCGCAAGUGCUAUUGGGACUCCAAUAAAUGAGCCACUUUCAUCACAAAAUUCUGCGGAGAAUGAAAUAGUAUCCAAUUCAGCAUCUAUUUUGGAGGUUAAAGAACACGAACCCAAUUCAUAUGAAAUGGUGGAUGAGCUACACAAAUGCGCCGUAGUAAUGUUUUAUGGAUAUCAAAAGUGCAACCUUCAGUGUAUAGGGUAUUGUCAAUGGAAAAAAUGUGGCUCAUUCAAAAAAUGCGAUAAGAUACCAGGCACAAAAACGAGGAAAGGCAGUAAAUACGCGUGCUAUUGCCAGCAAUCAGAGCCGAAAAUGAUGAUAAAGGAUGAAUUAGAAUUGGACAAGACUUUUGCAAGUGUAGAAAAUGCAAAUAUUCUGGAAGCACCGGCAAAAAAUACCACAAUUCCGAAGUUGACGAACUCUCCAGAACUUGAAGAACUUGAAAACCCAGAUUAUGAAGAGUGAAAGUUGCCACUGUAAAUUAGCACUUAUUCUAAUUUUUAAUGAAAGAGUUUGUAAAAAUUCAUACGAGUAUGAUAUUAUUCAAAUAUAGA
Long non-coding RNA from Planococcus citri (citrus mealybug), 985 nucleotides. RefSeq lists it as uncharacterized. The record is from RefSeq and is a predicted model, not a curated record. The transcript is spliced from 3 exons. Lineage: Eukaryota; Metazoa; Arthropoda; Insecta; Hemiptera; Pseudococcidae.